This 4787-nucleotide long non-coding RNA is filed under the name Xyrichtys novacula (pearly razorfish). The record is from RNAcentral. Lineage: Eukaryota; Metazoa; Chordata; Actinopteri; Labriformes; Labridae.
GGUAGAAAUAGAGGGCCCCCAAAAUCAAUUUUGCUUAGGGCCCCACUGAGGUUUUGGGCCUGCUCUGCUUGUGAUGUUAUGAGUGAGAGAGCUGCCUGUAGCAAGAUGGCCGCCAUGCGCUGACGUCGGUCUCCAUUGGUUAACAGCGUGAGUCAUCUAGUGUUUAUAUCUAUGGUAUCAGUCCCAGAAUCCACCGCGGUGUCUCACAUUUGGAUCUGCGCUUCGAGUGUCAAACCCAAGGUGAGUCCUGAGUUUGGACAGAAACGGCAUCAAAAAUGUCAUCUGACUCGGUGCAUGAAUAGAUUCAAUCACAACAGAAGCGUGUUUAUUCUGUCGGAGAGCGUAAAGUUCACCUGGGUUUAAAAAACGACCACAUAGAUCCGAGCCAGCUUAAGUUAGCUGAACAUGUUAGCAUGAGAGGUAAAGGUAGAGGAAAGGAGACAAGGAAACAGCAGCUUUUCCUUCUCCCUGAAAGUCAACAUUUAAUAAAACAGCGUUUCUUAUCGUACUUUAUAAUGAUGCAUGUGUUUCGUGUGCAGCUAUCUCUGCAUCUUUUAGUGUAUUCGCUGUUGGUGACCCCAGCUGAACUACGUUAGCAUUAACAACAUGGCUGUACUUCAGAGUUUCAUCAGUUCAUACAAUGAAUUAAAUCAGUUGUUUUAGACUUAAUUCAUGAAAAACAGUUAGAAUAUAACGUAACAUAAAGGUUAAAGUCCUACAGUAGUUCAUAAUUCAUCCCAAACUAAUGACACCAAGCGGAUUAUUUGUCCAGUUUUUAAAGUUUUAAGUCCUCUUUAUUUCAUAAAACUUAAGAAUUAACCGGCAUUUACACUCCUUUAGCUUAAAUUGUAAUAUUUAUUUUGUAAUCAGUGGUACUUUCUGAUAUUUGCCUCAGUCUUUUCUUCUUUUCGUAAUUUUGUAGAUGAGGACUACAUUUCCCAUGAGCACCAGUCACAGAUCUUAUCUGUAAUUCUUCAUUUCUUUAAGAUAACUUUUUACAGGAUGCAUAAUGAUCUGUGGGAACACCUGAUCAUUUACUCUAACAACAUCUAAGUAAAUCUCGCGAAAAUAUAGACAUGCAUACUCUUUAAGCCUUUCUUAGAGAAUCGGGCUUGAACUCAGGCACUAAAAUGUAAAGAAGUAGUCAAAUUUGAUAAAUUAUAAUCUAAUUUUACCGUGUAAUGAGAGGUCAUGAGAGGGUUGAGUGUAAGAGUAAGACUGUCUCAAAACAAGGGCCCGAUUGAUAUGGAGUUUUUGGGGCUGAUGCCGAUUAUUGGGGGGGGGGCGGGCAAUCCGAUUACCGAUUAAGGUCCUUUCACACUGGGACCGUUUUUUUUGUGCCAUUAUUUCAGACGUCAAUAUUUUUUAUCGAACAUGUAUCCUGUAAAUACAAGUGUUCACAUCAGCGAUGUUUUCCCGUCCUGCGAUAUUGCGGCAUUUAUUUUUUCGGAGCAGGGUGCAUUCUGUGUUUCCACUUCUGACCCAUCAGAUAACGUGUUGUUGCGACGUCUGAGUCACCUGUAUAUCCAACAUGGCCGACUGGCUGAUUGUUUACGUGUCGGAGAACAGAGUGCUUUUUGAUAAAAAACACAAACAUUACAAAGAUAACGACCUGAAGGACAACAUUUCAGAUUUCUCAUAUGACAAUAGUUUGUGUGCUUCAGAAUUGCAAAAGGUGUCUUUAAGCUGUGGUAUCAUGCUUACGUAAGCUAACAGUUGUUAUCGUUUCAUGUGCUUAUCAUCUCCUGAACAUAACUCAAUUUGAUGUCCGGGCUUCUCCAGGACUUCAGGUGGCAUUGUGGACGGCGGCCCCUCCUAUCAGAAGAACCUGUCUGAGGAGGUGACCAAACUGCAGAGGCUAUACGGAGGAGGGGACCUCGUCAAGUUCCCUGAGAUCAAAUUCGUUAUUUUCACGUUCUGUAUUCGCGUCGACCCUGGAGUGUUUUAUUUUAAGCAAGGUCCUCAUUUUAAAAAAAAAGGACAACCAAAAUAUUUGUAGAAUAAAUCAGUGAAAUUGUGUGAUAAAUGUUUAUUCCAAAAACAAAAUUGAAGAAAAAUGGUUGAAAGAAGAAUUCUUUAAAGAAUUAAAGGCAGAAAACUCAUUUGAAAUCCUUUGUAUUGCUAAAACAACUGAAAAAGAAUGAGGUAUUUUGUAUAAAGUGCAAACUUUAAACACUCAAUAUGCCAAUAUGACGAAUAAACGACCAUGAUGUCCUGAUUUGACUCCCGCCCACACAUUCCCUCAGAGACACAGUCCCAUCAUCUCGUCACUGUGUGUUUUUCCUCCUUCAGAUGGCACUUCACCGGUUAUACCACCUGUCCUCUCUGCUGCGCUCUGCCGUGAGCCUGACUCUGCGCAGGAACAUUGGCAUCUCCGCCGUCCUCUUCAACAAGAGCAAGGAUGAUUUUCCGAUACUGUUUGAAAUCAUGGUGAAGCAGCUCCCAGCUUCAAAGUUGUAAUCUCUGAGUGUCUGUUUUGAGUUUAAUCUGCAGUAUUGUGAUGUUUUCCAGCUGCACAGAUUAAAACGCAGUUAUAUCACUGAUAAUCCUCCUGUUCUUUCUCCUUUUUUUCAGAGCCCAAACUUGAAGAAGGCACCAAGUGAACGCUGUCCAUGUUGUAAAUCUCCUACAUGUCACCACCAAUAUGUUGUAUUUAAUAAAAGAGAGUGGAUUACAUUUCUCCUGCUGCCUUUGUUUUAUUUUAAGCAAGGUCCUCAUUCAGUGAGAUUGAUAGUUAAAAAGAAAAGGACAACCAAAAUAUUUGUAGAAUAAAUCAGUGAAAUUGUGUGAUAAAUGUUUAUUCCAAAAACAAAAUUGAAGAAAAAUGGUUGAAAGAAGAAUUUUCAGAAGCAUAAACGUGGUCGGAGUCAUGAAAGUUGCUGCAGUUUCAAGCCACUUUGAGUCGUACUGAUGUCUUUUCAUUAAAUCCAAAAGCAAACAAGACCAUCAGCAACUAUACUAUCCUAAUCCUAAUAUCUCAAGAAACUGAACUACAGUAGUAGUAGUAGUAGUAGUAGUAGUAGUCCUCCACCAGCAGAGGGAGUCGCUGUGAUUUCAGUCUUUGUCUCCAUCUAAAUAUAGUGACAGGCAGCAGAGCAGGAUGAUUUUCCGAUACUGUUUGAAAUCAUGGUGAAGCAGCUCCCAGCUUCAAAGUUGUAAUCUCUGAGUGUCUGUUUUGAGUUUAAUCUGCAGUAUUGUGAUGUUUUCCAGCUGCACAGAUUAAAACGCAGUUAUAUCACUGAUAAUCCUGUUCUUUCUCCUUUUUUUCAGAGCCCAAACUUGAAGAAGGCACCAAGUGAACGCUGUCCAUGUUGUAAAUCUCCUACAUGUCACCACCAAUAUGUUGUAUUUAAUAAAAGAGAGUGGAUUACAGUGUGGUUCGCUCUGUUUUUUAAUUAAUCUGCUCUGGUUUGAUCUUGAUUGAUAUAAUUCGAACAGGAGGGUCACCGAUUUUUGUGACUUUUAAAGCCACAAAAGUGGUUCUGGGGUAAGUUAAGUCCGUGGCUCAACUGAGAAAGGAAUGAAGUAUGAUGAGAGGAUCAGAGUUUCAGUUUAGAGGGAAAGCAAAAUGUAUUUUUUUUACAUUAGAAUAUUCAACUUUGUUAGCUAAAAUCACCACCACCAAGAGUUAUUCAUUUGAGUAUGAAGCCUUAAUUUUUCAGGGCUAGUUUGGGAAGUACUUUGUCGCUGUCUACUGGCAAAUUAAAUGUAUGACUAUUUAUGUCUCAUAAGGGGAGAUAAAAGGGAAAAGAAGCACAUUAUAUCCGUUUAUGCAUAAAAAAAAUCUUCAUGAAUGGAGGAUGAAUAAAAAGAAAAAUCUACUCUGCCGGAGAACAUGGGUUUUCUUUUAAGACUUCUCUAAGUCAAAAAUGAUCAAGAUUAAUAUUACUUGUUUGUUUGUUAAAUUGACGCUUUAGUUACUUUUGCUCAUCUUUAAUUUCAAUUUAAACCAUAUUUACAAAUUUAAUAUUCAUACUGCUUUAUAGUGAUAAUUGUUGGUGUCCUGCUUCCACCUGCAGUAGGUGGGCAGUAUCGGUAACGGGGGUGGGCCAAACUUUACCUGAGGGGACCAUGCUGAUAGCAAGUUUUUUUUCAGAGUGAAGCGAGAUAAAAUGAGAAAAUGCCCCUUUGGAGCAAGAUGCAAAAGAAAGAGUUUACGAAUGAGGUAAGCCAAAAAAAAAUUAAAUUAAUAAACAUUGAGUAGAGGUUGAUGAGUGGCGAGCUAGCACUAAUGGUAACGCUGAUGCUAAUGCAAAGAGACAGACAAAUUCCCAACUGGCAUCAUCCUGUGUGUCCCCAUGGCUCAGAGGAUAAGAAAACUGACUGGGACUCCUGAGGUUGUGGGUUCGAUCCUUACAUUAUUCAGCUUGAGGUGAAAUUUAAAGUCUAGUAUCUUGAAAGAAGAGUUAAAUAGGAAAAACACAGAUUUACCCUGUGUGUCCACAUGGCUCAGAUGAUAAGAAGACUGACUGAGCCGUCUGAGGUCGUGGGUUCAAUUCUUACCUUAUCCAGCUUGAGCUUAAAAUUUAAGGCCUCGUGUCUAGAAAUGGGAGUUAAAUAGGAAAAACCCGGAAUUACCCUGUGUGUCCAUAUGGCUCAGUGGAUAAGAAGACUGUUUGGGACUCCGGAGGUCAUGGGUUCGACCCUCACCUUACCCAAACCCAUUACAUUUUAAAGUUUAGUGUCUAGAAAGAUGAGUUAAAUAGGAAAAACCCAGAAUUACUCUGUGUGUUCACAUAGCCCAGAGGAUAAGAAGACUGACUGGGACUCCUGAGCUUGUGGGUUCG